RNAcentral lists this ribosomal RNA (443 nucleotides) under uncultured bacterium. RNAcentral describes it as "partial 16S ribosomal RNA". It matches the Rfam family "Bacterial small subunit ribosomal RNA", at positions 338 to 795 of the family's 1533-position model. The record is from RNAcentral.
CCUACGGGUGGCAGCAGUGGGGAAUAUUUGGCAAUGGGCGCAAGCCUGACCCAGCAACGCCGCGUGAAGGAAGAAGGCUUUCGGGUUUUAAACUUCUUUUCUCAGGGACGCAGAAAGUGACGGUACCUGAGGAAUAAGCCACGGCUAACUACGUGCCAGCAGCCGCGGUAAUACGUAGGUGGCAAGCGUUAUCCGGAUUUAUGGGGUGGAAAGGGCGUGUAGGCGGGAGCGGAAGUCGGAUGUGAAAACUCAGGGCUCAACCCAGAGCCUGCAUAUGAAACUGUGUUUCUUGAGUGCUGGAGAGGCAAUCGGAAUUCCGGGUGUAGCAGUGAAAUGCGUAGAUAUACGGAGGAACACCAGUGGCGAAGGCGGAUUGCUGGACAGUAACUGACGCUGAGGCGCGAAGGCGUGGGGAGCAAAAGGGAUUAGAUACCCCGGUAGUC